RNAcentral lists this long non-coding RNA (1353 nucleotides) under Parus major (Great Tit). Its description in RNAcentral is "lncRNA (ENSPMJG00000001896.1)". Lineage: Eukaryota; Metazoa; Chordata; Aves; Passeriformes; Paridae. The record is from RNAcentral.
UUUGUUUUCCCUCCUGGGAGCAGAGGGCUGGGAGAGCUCUCGGGGACGCUGAGCUGGUGUCACUUCACCCAUGACAGAAUUGCUCCCUGUGUGAUUUUGGGCUGAUUUAUCAGGCAUUUGAGGAGGGAUUUGUUUUGUGUGAGAUGCUGGCAGAGUGGCUGAGGAACAAACCCCUGGUUUUUGUUUUUUCUCCCUUGGCAAGAUCUAACAGUUACAAACGGAACGGCAGAGCUGCUGCACACGGAGCACAUCUGGUACCCCCGGAUACGAGAGAUCCAAGGUGCCAUCAUCAUGUCGUCGCUGAUCGAGGUGGUGAUCGGGCUGCUGGGGCUGCCCGGGGCUCUGCUGCGCUACAUCGGCCCCCUGACCAUCACCCCCACCGUGGCCCUCAUCGGCCUCUCGGGCUUCCAGGCUGCUGGGGAGAGAGCUGGCAAGCACUGGGGCAUCGCCAUGCUGUGAGUACCCUGCUGGGGAGACAGGGGUUUGGGUGAUGGGGAGGCUGCUGAGCGCUGCCAGCGCGGAGAAACAACGGGGCAGGAACGGGGAUGAGUCGAGUUCAGCUGGAAAUGUGGAGAGCAGCAGGUCAGGACAGCAGGAGCUGAGGAGAGCAGGAGCUCAGGAGAGCAGGAGAGCAGGAGCUGAGGAGAGCAGGAGCUGUGGAGAGCAGGAGAGCAUCAGCUCAGGACAGCAGGAGCUCAGAAGAGCAGGAGAGCAUCAGCUCAGAAGAGCAUCAGCUCAGGACAGCAUCAGCUCAGGACAGCAGGAGCUGAGGAGAGCAGGAGCUGAGGAGAGCAGGAGCUGAGGAGAGCAGGAGAGCAUCAGCUCAGAAGAGCAUCAGCUCAGGAGAGCAGGAGCUCAGGAGAGGAGCUGAGGAGAGCAUCAGCUCAGGACAGCAGGAGCUCAGAAGAGCAGCAGCUCAGGGCAGCAGGAGCUCAGGAGAGGAGCUCAGGAGAGGAGCUGAGGAGAGCAGGAGAGCAGGAGCUCAGGAGAGCAGGAGCUCAGGAGAGCAGGAGCUCAGGAGAAAAAGCCUGAAAAAGCUUUUCUCUCAGAAGAAAUCCUGCCCUGGGAGGAUGAGGAGGCCCCAGAGCAGCUGGGGCUGCCCCUGGAUCCCUGUGAGCACCCAUGGUUGGAUGGGCAGCUGGAAAAUCAGCUUCAACAGCAGCUGGAAAAUCAGCUCCCAGAGCGUUUACAGGAAUCAUGGAAUGAUUUGGGUGGGCAGAAGAUUAAAAAGCACCCAGUGCCACCCCUGCCACGGCAGGGACAGCUCCCACUGGCCCGGGGGGCUCCAAGGCUGGUCCAGCCUGGCCUGGGGCACUCACAGGGAUUGGGAAAGCUCUGCAGAAAGGCCACACA